CAGCCGCCACGGUAAUACAGAGGGUGCGAGCGUUAAUCGGAUUUACUGGGCGUAAAGCGUGCGUAGGCGGCUUCUUAAGUCGGAUGUGAAAUCCCUGAGCUUAACUUAGGAAUUGCAUUCGAUACUGGGAAGCUAGAGUAUGGGAGAGGAUGGUAGAAUUCCAGGUGUAGCGGUGCAAUGCGUAGAGAUCUGGAGGAAUACCGAUGGCGAAGGCAGCCAUCUGGCCUAAUACUGACGCUGAGGUACGAAAGCAUGGGGAGCAAACAGGAUUAGAUACCCCCGUAGUCCCUGUCUCUUAUAC
RNAcentral lists this ribosomal RNA (301 nucleotides) under uncultured bacterium. RNAcentral's name for it is "partial 16S ribosomal RNA". It matches the Rfam family "Bacterial small subunit ribosomal RNA", at positions 509 to 807 of the family's 1533-position model. The record is from RNAcentral.